GCCCGGAUGGUGAAACAGGUAGACACAAGGGACUUAAAAUCCCUCGGCCAUUGCGGCUGUGCCGGUUCGAUUCCGGCUCCGGGUACCA
RNAcentral lists this transfer RNA (88 nucleotides) under Betaproteobacteria bacterium. RNAcentral describes it as "tRNA-Leu". It matches the Rfam family "tRNA". Rfam says of the family: Transfer RNA (tRNA) molecules are approximately 80 nucleotides in length. Their secondary structure includes four short double-helical elements and three loops (D, anti-codon, and T loops). The record is from RNAcentral. Lineage: Bacteria; Pseudomonadati; Pseudomonadota; Betaproteobacteria.